ACAAAGUCUCUGCUCCGCAUGGGCAAUAAUACUGUGAAUUGCAGACACCAACCCCUGUCACAUAUAAGACAACAUAAGAAAUUAUACAUGACAUAAGAAACUAAACAUGACAUAAGACAAUAUACCUUAUGUUGGUAAAAAAUAAUGCCAUAUGCUCUUUGAUUGAAUGAACUAGAAUCUUCCAAAAGAAGGUGUAAGAACCAUCCUCAUGAACCUUUGGUCUCAGCUUCAACAAUUACAUAUGCAAUUGAAAAGAUUUGGUUGUUACAUUCCAUGCCUAGUG
This 283-nucleotide long non-coding RNA is filed under the name Lathyrus oleraceus (garden pea). RNAcentral describes it as "Pisum sativum (pea) long non-coding RNA (PSAT_LNC007657)". Lineage: Eukaryota; Viridiplantae; Streptophyta; Magnoliopsida; Fabales; Fabaceae. The record is from RNAcentral.